GAGCGGUGGCUUGCCCCUGCGCGCAUGCCCGGUAGCGGUUGGAGCCGUUGGGAGCGGCCGUUAGGGGUUCGGUCAGGGCUGAGGGGAGAAACCGGUAACGUGCCUGAAGGGGGUUUCUCUCUUGCCGUUAAAACCCGGCUGUGAGGAACGUGCUGGUAAAGGCAGACCUACGCCGAUGCUUGGAGGCAGACUGAGUGUGGGAAGCCGCCUCCCGCCGUGCUGAGCAGCUUCAGAUGUCGCUGAGGAAGCAGCGGGGGCACCAGGCGCAGCUGGCCCCCAACAGCCGCAGCUGGCCCCCGCGAGAACAAAAAGCAAGGCGAGAAGACCAGCGAGUUGCUUCAGGAGGCCUUUUUCGUGGAGUAUCCUUAGCCAGUACCACUUCCCAGCCUGGGAAGCAAGCACGGGCUUGCUGCAGUUGUUGCUCUGCAGGCAGGGAGUAGCUCUGCAGCUAGAGAAAAUGAUGCUCAUCUGCUUCAGCGCGAGAGAGUAAAGUGUACAGGUGUCCAUAUGCAAGAUGGAAAGCACGUAGGAAACUCGCAUACUACGUCUUCAAAUAGCAGCACUGUGAUGUAAAGGUUUCAGGAGACCUAUGAGCAAUUGUUAACUAUGGACAUGGUCCUGCUCAAAGAAAAAAACCUGUUGUUAUUACAAAAGAAUGCUGUCAAGCUUAUUCCAGGUUCAGUGUAAUCUACCUAUUCCUUCAUCACAUGAAAUAAAAAAGUGGAGAAAUGCUUCUAA
Cygnus atratus (black swan) is the source of this 738-nucleotide long non-coding RNA. RefSeq lists it as uncharacterized. The record is from RefSeq and is a predicted model, not a curated record. Lineage: Eukaryota; Metazoa; Chordata; Aves; Anseriformes; Anatidae. The transcript is spliced from 2 exons.